This 253-nucleotide ribosomal RNA is filed under the name uncultured bacterium. RNAcentral describes it as "partial 16S ribosomal RNA". It matches the Rfam family "Bacterial small subunit ribosomal RNA", at positions 524 to 776 of the family's 1533-position model. The record is from RNAcentral.
UACGAAGGGGGCUAGCGUUGUUCGGAAUUACUGGGCGUAAAGCGCGCGCAGGCGGUUUUCCAAGUCAGUGGUGAAAGCCCAGAGCUCAACUCUGGAACUGCCAUUGAAACUGUUGAACUUGAGGACGGGAGAGGUGAGUGGAAUUCCCAGUGUAGAGGUGAAAUUCGUAGAUAUUGGGAAGAACACCGGUGGCGAAGGCGGCUCACUGGCCCGUUUCUGACGCUCAUGCGCGACAGCGUGGGGAUCAAACAGG